GUAUGAAAAUUGUUGAUUUGAAUAAAUAAAUAAAGUUAUUGUAAUUAAUACAUCUAAACAGUUCACAUAUAAAAAAGUUAGAUCCACCCUUUCUUUUAAUUCAUACACAUGUACAUAUACCCUUAGGGCAGUACUUGAUCAUGAGUUGGUCAGUGGAUAUUUGUGAUCUUGGUUUUUAUUGGUUGUUUGUGUCAGGUUGAAUUUGGUUGGUUUGUAUAUUUUGCUUUAUGUGUUUUACCGCCAAGUUUGACAAUCUUUGUCUGGACAUUGACCAAAGCAGACUAUAUAUUUAUAUUGAGAAGUAAUUUUAUUUUGGACCAGACCUUGCUCUUUUUCUGAAUCAGUCAAUGUCAAUAUAAUUUCACCACGCAAUCGGUGUACGUAUUAUGAGCCUGUUCCCAUAGAAUGGUGAGAAAGUGUUUUCGAAUAUUUUUUAUCUGAUUAAUAUAUUUUAUGACUUAUUUUGGAGAAAUGUAAUUCAUGUAUAUUAUAAGAGUUACCUCCCGCUAAAUGUUUAAAGUACAAUUAUAGUAAGAUAAUGUAAAAAUAUUAUCUUGAUGGAAAUACAUAUAUAUUGUACUAAUGUUAUAUUUUGAUAUAAAUUAUAUUAUUGUUUUAUGAUAUUUCAGGGCUUAAAUAUACAUUGCAAAUUUUAAAGUCACUGUGUCCGGAUACGAAUAAACGAACCAUACAGAUA
This is a long non-coding RNA of Magallana angulata, 697 nucleotides long. RefSeq lists it as uncharacterized. The record is from RefSeq and is a predicted model, not a curated record. The transcript is spliced from 2 exons. NCBI's taxonomy places the organism in Eukaryota, Metazoa, Mollusca, Bivalvia, Ostreida, Ostreidae.